ACGGGUGCGUAACGCGUAUGCAAUCUGCCUUUCACAGAGGGAUAGCCCAGAGAAAUUUGGAUUAAUACCUCAUAGUAUUACGACUCGGCAUCGAGAUGUAAUUAAAGUCACAACGGUGAAAGAUGAGCAUGCGUCCCAUUAGCUAGUUGGUAAGGUAACGGCUUACCAAGGCAACGAUGGGUAGGGGUCCUGAGAGGGAGAUCCCCCACACUGGUACUGAGACACGGACCAGACUCCUACGGGAGGCAGCAGUGAGGAAUAUUGGACAAUGGGCGCAAGCCUGAUCCAGCCAUGCCGCGUGCAGGAUGACGGUCCUAUGGAUUGUAAACUGCUUUUGUACGAGAAGAAACAUCCCGACGUGUCGGGACUUGACGGUAUCGUAAGAAUAAGGAUCGGCUAACUCCGUGCCAGCAGCCGCGGUAAUACGGAGGAUCCAAGCGUUAUCCGGAAUCAUUGGGUUUAAAGGGUCCGUAGGCGGUUUAGUAAGUCAGUGGUGAAAGCCCAUCGCUCAACGGUGGAACGGCCAUUGAUACUGCUGAACUUGAAUUACUGGGAAGUAACUAGAAUAUGUAGUGUAGCGGUGAAAUGCUUAGA
This 594-nucleotide ribosomal RNA is filed under the name Flavobacterium sp. HRRK050. RNAcentral describes it as "bacterial SSU rRNA". It matches the Rfam family "Bacterial small subunit ribosomal RNA", at positions 102 to 694 of the family's 1533-position model. The record is from RNAcentral. Lineage: Bacteria; Pseudomonadati; Bacteroidota; Flavobacteriia; Flavobacteriales; Flavobacteriaceae.